CCCUUAGACGUUCUGGGCCGCACGCGCACUACACUGACGAAGGCAACGAGCUACUCUUCACCGAAAGGUGUGGGUAAUCUUUUGAAACUUCGUCGUGCUGGGGAUAGAUCCUUGCAAUUUUUGAUCUUAAACGAGGAAUUCCUAGUAAGCGCAAGUCAUCAACUUGCGUUGAUUACGUCCCUGCCCUUUGUACACACCGCCCGUCGCUACUACCGAUUGAAUGGUUUAGUGAGGCCUUCGGAUCCGCGAUUUUAUUGUGGAGAAGUUGGACAAACUCAGUCAUUUAGAGGAAGUAAAAGUCGUAACA
RNAcentral lists this ribosomal RNA (307 nucleotides) under uncultured eukaryote. RNAcentral's name for it is "partial 18S ribosomal RNA". It matches the Rfam family "Eukaryotic small subunit ribosomal RNA", at positions 1470 to 1796 of the family's 1831-position model. The record is from RNAcentral.